UACAGAGGUGGCGAGCGUUGUUCGGAUUUACUGGGCGUAAAGGGCGCGUAGGCGGCCGUGUGUGUCGCGUGUGAAAUCCCCGGGCUCAACCCGGGAAGUGCGCGCGAAACUGCGGGGCUCGAGCGGAGGAGGGGAGAGCGGAAUUAAUGGUGUAGCGGUGAAAUGCGUUGAUAUCAUGAGGAACACCGGUGGCGAAGGCGGCUCUCUGGAAUCCUGCUGACGCUGAGGCGCGAAAGUCGGGGGAGCAAACAGGAUUAGAUACCCUGGUA
RNAcentral lists this ribosomal RNA (269 nucleotides) under uncultured prokaryote. Its description in RNAcentral is "partial 16S ribosomal RNA". It matches the Rfam family "Bacterial small subunit ribosomal RNA", at positions 524 to 792 of the family's 1533-position model. The record is from RNAcentral.